Mus musculus (house mouse) is the source of this 71-nucleotide non-coding RNA. The record is from Rfam. Lineage: Eukaryota; Metazoa; Chordata; Mammalia; Rodentia; Muridae.
UGAUCAGUCAGGCUGCUGGUGAUUCUCCAGGACUUAUCUGGUCCUGGAUAUAACCACUGCCAGACUGAAUG